CCUGUCCUUCUGGGAACAAGGAGGUCACUUCUACAUAAUGCUCCUCCUUAGGGAAAAGGGGUUAUACCUAUCUCUCCUGAAUUGCAAAUGAGGAUCUGCCAAGCAAGUUGCAGUGCCCGAUGCUUCACGGAAGGCGUUAUCCUCUGCUUGGUUACACCUGGAGGGAAGCUUCUUCCAAGCACUGAUCACGAGAAGUCUAGACCAUAAGUCAUUUCCAGCCUGUAUAGUAAUGCAACGCAUCAGAAACACAACUUCUAUUCCAAUUCAUGUAAAUACUCCUCUUUAGAACAUCUUGAACUGCUUUUCUUGUUAGUGUGGUUUUGUAGCAGUCAACUCAUCCUGGCAAGUCAAGGGGUUGAAUGAGUCUGAUCAUACUGCUGUGCUUUAAUGCUGUCAUUGUUAGGUUUCUGCAGAUUCUGGUGGAUCUGCCUAACCAGUGAGUAAAGAUGAGUAAGGAACAUAAAGGAUUUCUUUAACCUCACUUCACAGGCUUUUUUUUUUUUUUUUCCCCUAUUCAAUUGCACUUUGAUCUAUUAGAGUUUUGGUUGCUUACAGACAUAAGCCACUGAGGUAUAUUGUGCUCACUUCCUCGUCAUUUGUUUUUCUGGACAGACUGUCCUUACUACUGAUUACCUGCCUGUUUUCCUUUUGAAAUCCAAGAGGAAAAAUACCGUAGCAAAUAAUCAUGUAAACAUUCUGUAAAUGCUUGGAAGAUAACAAGGAAAUGAGUAAUAGCCAGCAUGGAUUUGUCACGAACAAAUCGUAUCAGACUAAUCUAUUAUUUUCUGUGACAGUGUAACAGGCUGUUUGGGUAGGGAAGAGGCAGAUGAUGUCAUGUGUCCUGACAUUAGGAUGCUCUGACAUCCCUGCAGAUAAGCUGGGGAACGUGCUCUGGAUGUGGAUUUUCUGAUGUGGUUGGCUUUGUGUCCUCAGCAAGUAUUUCUCCAUGGGUCACUGUCAAAAUGGAAAUAAGUUGGCAGCGAGGCAUCAUAAGGGUCUGUAGUGACUCUGGGCAUAGUCAAUGUUUUCAUUAACAAUUAAUUGAUGGAAGAGGAAGGAUGUGUAUUAAACUUGCAGAUAAUUUUAAACAGAGAGAGACUGGAAGGUGUGUGAGGUAGUUCUUCCUGGCUACUAGAUCCUAGGAGAAUUUCCACUGGUGUAAUUGUGCAUAGGUCAAGGUAAUUUACACUUCUUCCUCGAAGUAAAG
Molecule: long non-coding RNA, 1207 nt
Filed under: Anas platyrhynchos platyrhynchos (common mallard)
Lineage: Eukaryota; Metazoa; Chordata; Aves; Anseriformes; Anatidae
Description: lncRNA (ENSAPLG00000024499.1)
Source: RNAcentral